UGGGGAAUAUUGGACAAUGGGCGAAAGCCUGAUCCAGCCAUGCCGCGUGUGUGAAGAAGGUCUUCGGAUUGCAAAGCACUUUAAGUUGAGAGGAAGGGCAGUAAGCGAAUACCUUGCUGUUUUGACGUUACCGACAGAAUAAGCACCGGCUAACUCUGUGCCAGCAGCCGCGGUAAUACAGAGGGUGCAAGCGUUCAUCGGAAUUACUGGGCGUAAAGCGCGCGUAGGUGGUUCGUUAAGUGGAAUGUGAAAGCCCCGGGCUCAACCUGGGAACAGCAUCCAAAACUGGCGAGCUCGAGUAGGGCAGAGGGUGGUGGAAUUUCCUGUGUAGCGGUGAAAUGCGUAGAUAUAGGAAGGAACACCAGUGGCGAAGGCGACCACCUGGGCUCAUACUGACACUGAGGUGCGAAAACGUGGGGAGCAAACAGG
This 429-nucleotide ribosomal RNA is filed under the name Pseudomonadota bacterium. RNAcentral describes it as "Proteobacteria bacterium partial 16S ribosomal RNA". It matches the Rfam family "Bacterial small subunit ribosomal RNA", at positions 355 to 776 of the family's 1533-position model. The record is from RNAcentral. Lineage: Bacteria; Pseudomonadati; Pseudomonadota.